AGACACACACUGCAGAUGUCAGCCUGUGCUGGCACUCCUUGGUCCUCACUGCGGUGUCCGGACCCCAAAUCAUCAGUCCACAGGCUACAAACUGGAGCUGUGUCAGAAGGAAAACUCAACCUCUACUCUUCUGCACCAGAAAUCAGAAGCAUUAAGUUACUCUGAGCUUCAUUAAACAGUGAACACUUUGCUUCUGACAACACACAUCUAUCAACUUUAGCAAGUCCCAGGGCUAAGAAAAGUUUGAUUACAGACAUUGUAUCUAAACGGCUGAAACUGAUAAAGGAUUCAUGAAGUAUUAAGCAUAUGAUGCAAAUGAAAUUAAGCACGGAUUUAUACUCCUUAAUGAACUAAAGCUUUAAAAAGAAAUUAUAAGGUUUGCAUAUUUGCUCUCAGUACAUGUCAAUACCUUCUGAAAACAACAGAUGUCAGGCAGUAUAACAUGCAAUAAAACUGUAAUGCUGUACAGAAACAUUGCCGUCCUCCUUCUCACAUCCAGCAAUAAACAUAAAGAAUGUCAAUAUCUUAGAAAACCAGGAUCAGCUUGCCAUCCAUCAAUGGCUCACAAAAUCAUGCCAACUGUAAAAUCAUUUUGUUCUACUAAACAAGAGGGUACGGCAUUUUCUCUGCAUUAUGGUAACAAUCAUUCACUUUUCUCUUAUUAAAGGAAAACAGCUGAGAAUGUGAGUUUGAGCUUAUGUUACUGAAGUCCAACUAUCAUGUAAAUUUUGUUAAGACUGCCACAAUCAAUAAAGAAAUUACUCAUGAUAAAUAAUAUGCAGUGAGUAUUUGUUAGAGGUUGAAUCCUACAAGCAGUGAAUAUAAUAACUUACGGAAUUAAAGAGGAAUCAGAUGACAUCUGACCCUAACUACUAAACCUUUUUCUAAAGACAGCUGAAGGAUUUGUUAAACAUGAGAGGAACAGAGCUUCAUUUUGCUCCCUCCAGAGCUACAAAAAGGAGACAGGCCUUGGGAACUGCCAAAAAAUUCUCUGUUUAGGGAGAUCCGUGCCAAAAUCAAGCUCCUGUCAGUUGGCUGGGCAAAAGAAUAAUAUCACUGUGAAAAGGCAAGAGUGUGUUGCUUUUAACAACCUUUUAUCAUGUCCAGAUGGCUGGAGCAUGUGAGCUUUCUGGAUAAACCUCUUCCUGUACAUGAACACAAGGUGUUUGUACCAACUCCUUGGAGGUGGAAUUUGAUCCUUUGGUCUCCCCAAGGAUUCCACACAUGGGCAGAAACCCUUUGAGCAGCCUUUGUGGCUGUCUCAGAACUUCCUGCACCCGCAGGUGCAUCAAUCCCUCUGUGACUGUAUGAUAAUGACAAUAAACCAUCAGCUUAGUCCACCAAGAUCGUGUAAGAUGACAUCACACCACCAUACACCUGUGACAGGCUGUUAUAUGGCAGGGAUGGAGUACAGGGAGGGUGAAGUAACCAGAUACAAACAGAGAAAUAAUCUGUUUUCUGGUAUUAAUGAUGAUAUUCCUAGUGCAAAGCAAGAUAUUUUCCAUUCUGCUAAAUUAAAUAAACUAUACUGUUCUUUUAAUCCCACACCGGUUGCUGUUUUUCUUGUGUUAUUAAACAGAAAAGGAUUUGCUUGCUA
Parus major (Great Tit) is the source of this 1597-nucleotide long non-coding RNA. RefSeq lists it as uncharacterized. The transcript is spliced from 2 exons. The record is from RefSeq and is a predicted model, not a curated record. NCBI's taxonomy places the organism in Eukaryota, Metazoa, Chordata, Aves, Passeriformes, Paridae.